UUUAAAGUCUAAUCUGCCCCCUGAAAUUAUUUUAAAGGGCUGCGGUAUUUUAACCGUACAAAGGUAGCAUAAUAAUUAGGUUUUUGAUUGAAAUCUAGAAUGAAUGAUUGGACGAGAUACAAGCUGUUUUAUAAUAAUUAAUUAAAAUUUAAUUUUUUAGUCAAAAAGCUAAAAUUUUAUUAAAAGACGAGAAGACCCUAUAAAUCUUUAUAAUAAAUUUAUUUUAAUAAAUUAUUUUAUUUAAAUUAAUAAUUUUAAUAUUAAAUUAUUUUAUUGGGGUGAUACAAAAAUUUAAUUAACUUUUUUAUUAAAAUUUCUUAAAUUAAAGAUUUAUAAAAAUAUGAUCUAUUAUUAAUAAUUCAGAGAGUAAGAUACUUUAGGGAUAACAGCGUAAUUUUAAUUUUAAGUUCUUAUUAAAAUUAAAGAUUGCGACCUCGAUGUUGGAUUAAAAUUUAAUUUAAAUGCAAAGGUUUAAAAAUUAAG
RNAcentral lists this ribosomal RNA (483 nucleotides) under Drusus nigrescens. RNAcentral describes it as "partial 16S ribosomal RNA". The record is from RNAcentral. Lineage: Eukaryota; Metazoa; Arthropoda; Insecta; Trichoptera; Limnephilidae.